GUAAAAUUGAAGUUCAUGUCAAGCUGGCCAAAAGCCCUUUACUCUCUUGAUGGUUGAGGAAAAGCUCAUCAUUUCCCUUCUUCACCACUUGUGGAUCUUCUUACAUUCAGUCAUAAGAAGGAGUCUCAUCCUUAGAGGGAGAAGGGACAGAUUCUGGGAGAGGCCUAAUUCAUGACUGCCAUUUGCUCAUGGCAAAUGCCAACUCUGCAAGCAACCAAUCCAUCUUUCGCAAGAUGAUCUCUAACUUACCAGAAGACCCCAGGAGAUGAGUCGCAUGCCUGAUGCCCUACAUCCACUUGGUUAU
This is a long non-coding RNA of Symphalangus syndactylus (siamang), 304 nucleotides long. RefSeq lists it as uncharacterized. The record is from RefSeq and is a predicted model, not a curated record. Lineage: Eukaryota; Metazoa; Chordata; Mammalia; Primates; Hylobatidae.